This is a small nuclear RNA of Nycticebus coucang (slow loris), 103 nucleotides long. The record is from RefSeq and is a predicted model, not a curated record. NCBI's taxonomy places the organism in Eukaryota, Metazoa, Chordata, Mammalia, Primates, Lorisidae.
GCACACUUGGACAGCACAUGUACUAAAAUUGGAAGCAAUACACAGAUUAGCAUGGCCCUUAUGCAAGGUCAACACACAAAUUCAUGAAGCAUUCCAUAUUUUC